CCUACGGGAGGCAGCAGUGAGGAAUAUUGGUCAAUGGCCGGAAGGCUGAACCAGCCAUGCCGCGUGAAGGUCAGUGCCCUAUGGGCGUUAAACUUCUUUUGUGCGGGAGCAAUAAUGGUCACGUGUGGCCAGACGAGAGUACCGUACGAAUAAGCAUCGGCUAACUCCGUGCCAGCAGCCGCGGUAAUCCAGGGGAUGCAAGCGUUAUCCGGAUUUAUUGGGGUUAAAGGGUGCGUAGGCUGUGAGGUAAGUCAGCGGUGAAAUGCCCCCGCUCAACGGGGUGAAGUGCCAUUGAUACUGCCUUGCUGGAAUGCGGAUGCCGUGGGAGGAAUGUGUGGUGUAGCGGUGAAAUGCAUAGAUAUCACACAGAACACCGAUUGCGAAGGCAUCUCACGAAUCCGCGAUUGACGCUGAUGCACGAAAGCGUGGGUAUCAAACAGGAUUAGAUACCCUAGUAGUC
RNAcentral lists this ribosomal RNA (460 nucleotides) under uncultured bacterium. Its description in RNAcentral is "partial 16S ribosomal RNA". It matches the Rfam family "Bacterial small subunit ribosomal RNA", at positions 338 to 795 of the family's 1533-position model. The record is from RNAcentral.